GACCUACGGCAUGGUGUGAACAGGUUAUAUGCGGUGCAGUGUGAUAUUGGAAUAUGCUGCAUCACGUGUAACCUUCCUAUACCGUGCUGUGUCUC
Ornithorhynchus anatinus (platypus) is the source of this 95-nucleotide non-coding RNA. RefSeq annotates it as microRNA mir-1421af. The transcript has a single exon. Lineage: Eukaryota; Metazoa; Chordata; Mammalia; Monotremata; Ornithorhynchidae. The record is from RefSeq and is marked provisional.